UGAAAUACACAAGGUUAUUGCACAUUAUUCUUCAUUAAAUAUUCGAUGAUAAAAACAAAUAUGUCAGCGUAAAGGCUAGCCACGAUGUAGAGAAAAUCGUCUGUACAUCGUGAGGCUAGCCCAGCAAAAUUAAGUAUACAAGACGUAUACAGUCAAAUAUAAUAUAGUAGAAUUGAUAUCCCCUAACGCUGCCAUUUUAUUUCUGAAGAAAACAAUUCGGGACGAUGUGCAAUAACCUGUACAUUUCAACCAUCAACACUGUUGAUACCUCCGCUUCGUGAUACUUUUUUUUUAAUCAGAUAACGUUCGAAUGUGUUAUCACGCAGUAGUAUAAUUUCCAAUUUCCAUGCAGAAAACUUAAAAUUGAAAUUAAAAAUUCCAUAAUAAAAUUUGGAUGUUGAAUAAUUAUUUAAAAAGCUCUUUUAUGAAGAGUUAUCCUUAAAAAAUAGUUUUAUUCAUAAAUACUUUACACAGUUUUACUAUUACUUUUAACCAAAUAGUGUUUCAUAUCAUUUUAAUUUUUUUAUUUUAAACUUAUAUAGAAGUCAAAUAAAUUUCACCAUGGUUAGAUUGAUGAACAAGAUAUUCGACACAAUGCAUAAAGGCGUCGUUACAGUAGCUGUUGGCUUAACAAUUAUUUCCACGGGAUUAUUUGCUUAUAGAACGUAUGAAAUCAUUUUUGUUCCUGUAGAACAACGGCUCAAAGCAAAGCGAGAGAUUGAUGAUUUAUUACACAAUGAAGAAUUCUCAAAAGAUAAUUAAUGGGAGGUUGCUCGCCAGUGAACAAAUGAAACUCCUGCACAUCAUCUGGAAAACAUUAAUUUGUAUAUUUAGUCAUAACUAAUAAGUUUGUUUAAAAUAGCCUUAAUUUCUUACCAGUUACAUAAUUAUCCAAUUUCAUACAACUAUCAUAUGAUGGCGGUGGUGUUGUACCAUUUUGAAAAUUAGAUGGUACAUUAUGAUUUACACUAUGAUUUCCUUUAUUAAAUAAAACAUUUUGUUUUUA
Adelges cooleyi (spruce gall adelgid) is the source of this 1006-nucleotide long non-coding RNA. RefSeq lists it as uncharacterized. The transcript is spliced from 2 exons. The record is from RefSeq and is a predicted model, not a curated record. Lineage: Eukaryota; Metazoa; Arthropoda; Insecta; Hemiptera; Adelgidae.